Molecule: ribosomal RNA, 253 nt
Filed under: uncultured bacterium
Lineage: Bacteria
Description: partial 16S ribosomal RNA
Rfam family: Bacterial small subunit ribosomal RNA
Source: RNAcentral
UACGUAGGGUGCAAGCGUUGUCCGGAAUUAUUGGGCGUAAAGAGCUCGUAGGCGGUCUGUCGCGUCGGCUGUGAAAACUCGGGGCUCAACUCCGAGCUUGCAGUCGAUACGGGCAGGCUAGAGUUCGGCAGGGGAGACUGGAAUUCCUGGUGUAGCGGUGAAAUGCGCAGAUAUCAGGAGGAACACCGGUGGCGAAGGCGGGUCUCUGGGCAGUAACUGACGCUGAGGUGCGAAAGCGUGGGGAGCAAACAGG